This is a long non-coding RNA of Melozone crissalis (California towhee), 1235 nucleotides long. RefSeq lists it as uncharacterized. The record is from RefSeq and is a predicted model, not a curated record. The transcript is spliced from 10 exons. Lineage: Eukaryota; Metazoa; Chordata; Aves; Passeriformes; Passerellidae.
AGUUGUCAGCAGGCAUAAAACCAUAACCAGUAAAAGAUGAAGAAUAAUGAUAUAAUAGCUCCAGUUGUCUCCUCUCCUAUACAACCUAAUGAUUAUCACUAGUGUUGGGAAAUGAAUUUUCAGAAUUUAUGAUUCUCCAGGAAAAGAGCAGGUGAGUCAGAGAAAACAAAUCAGCCUGGAGUGAGUAUCGAGAAGCUGUGCUGCUGCAUCAUCCCAUCCUUGCAGGAAGCUGGUGGGCUGUCAGUGUGGGUUUUCAGAUGCACCAAGGAAAGUUUUAAAAUCAUCUAUAUGUACAAUUGUUUCUGUGAUAUCUCCUUCAUUCCAUGUUGUCCUUUCUUCUUUUGAAAUGGACCUGCAAAUACCUCAUAGUUAGGAUACUGCCAGUAAUUGUUACAGGUAAAUCAGUCUGUUUAGUCACAGUAAACUACUGAUUUUUAACAGGAUAGAGCUUUCAGCAGCAGUCCAGAAUCUCUGGAUUUUUCACACUCUGGAUGGACUUCCAGGGUGACUGGAGUUCAAGUCCUUUGCAUCUUAGAGACACCUCCUCUGUGAGCAGGUCUGUUUUUAAUGUAGAGUUCAAAUGUAUGCCUGGAGCAAAUAAACACGCAUUUAAAAAAGCUCGGAGCCUUGCAGUAGUAAUCCAAGCUCUUUGUGCCCUGGUGGCCCUGCCUGUUCUCAGGCUCCCCAAAUGUGGUCCUAGGCCAGGGAAGGGAAGAGCAGCAUCUCUCAGCAGUCUAGGUGGGCUCUGCAGCUGAGCCGCUGCUUCACGUGGAGUUGUGGCCACUGGAAAUUCAGAGAACCAAGCCUUUUCUGAGUGUGUGUUUUAAAUGUGUGGAGAGGAAAAAGCUACCCAGGUGACCUACAGGGGCAAAUUUUGGAGACUAAAGGGAGAUUUGCUAUUGCCUCAAAAGGGAGCAGGAUGGAUUUCUGAGCACAGCAUUUCAACUAAGCUGAGCUGGUUGGGGUUCUCAAUAAACUGCUGAGGCAAGAUGGGACCUCUGCUCUUCCAGGCCUUCUCUGUGCCAAGGACUGACCCAGCAGCAACUUUCAAUAUUCAUGGAUGCAAAAAAUUCUGCAAAUGAUAACGUGCAGCUGAGAGGCUGUGAGCCUUGAAUGAGACAAUUCUGCAGCAGAGCACUGGUUUUUCAGGGAUCCUCUCCACUCUACCUGGGAUGCCAUGGUCUGUCAAAUCACAGCAGCAGUGCAGGGAAGUGAUCUUGGAGCAGUGAAUGAAA